Molecule: long non-coding RNA, 407 nt
Filed under: Triticum aestivum (bread wheat)
Lineage: Eukaryota; Viridiplantae; Streptophyta; Magnoliopsida; Poales; Poaceae
Description: long non-coding RNA (TAES_LNC009378)
Source: RNAcentral
CUGCAGGGUUGGAAGGGCAGAGUCAUCGGCGCCCUAUCCACAUGGAAACCUAGCUAGAACUUUAGAGACAUGUUGCCUGGUACAUUUCAUCACUUUUUUCUUUGAUCGAAUUUUCAUCACUUUUUUCUGUUCUGUUGUAUCUGAUAUUCUGAUGCUUAUGUUGUUGAAUUUUGACCCUUUGCUGGGAGCAGAGUUGAUGGAUAUUUUUGCUGAACUUGACUAGAACAGAAGCUUCUUGCAUAUGUUUUGUACCAAAUGAAGCAUGUGUAUUGCAAACUGUUUGUUUGUUCCUUGAAUCGGUAGCGCUGAUUUUUCAUUUCUCAGUUCAAUGAAAGGUGCAUAUGAGCUGCUGAGUGAUAUAUUAGCUGUGGCGUAAAUGAUAAAAUUCGUGUGGAUUAUUCGUGUGC